Molecule: ribosomal RNA, 864 nt
Filed under: Triticum aestivum (bread wheat)
Lineage: Eukaryota; Viridiplantae; Streptophyta; Magnoliopsida; Poales; Poaceae
Description: partial small subunit ribosomal RNA
Source: RNAcentral
AUGACGAGCGACCGAGACGUGCGAUGGCGAGUCUCCUUCGCCGCCGACCUGAUGACGGGCGCUCUCCGGUUCGUCGACGGGGAGGUCGUACUUCGUCGAGGGGCACUGCGACUCGUUCUCUUAGACGAGCGCGGUAUCAUCGUGGACGCGCGAUAUCUCCGCGAGGGCGAGUCCAUCGACAUUGGAGACAUGAUCUCGUUUCCCUGCUACUUCGCGAAGGUUCGAGAUCGUCUGCCGGCGGCGGGCUCGUCGGCGGGAGAUACGGUGGAGGAUGCGAGGCGACCAGGCGCGGUACACGGAAACAACGAGGGGCGGUACACGGAGGACCGGGUGCGGUGCGGCACGGGCACGACCUCGCGCCCCCACCCAUCCAUGGUGGAUGGGCGACACGUGGGUGCACAUCCAAACAUCCAUUCUCGGCCACGGGCUCGCGGUGAGGGUAUAAAUCAUCCGCCCCGCCCCCUACUUGACCUAGACUCCGCCCUCGCCCACUUCUGGACGGCGGAAAAAAACCCUAGAUCGAGAUCUGGAGAGGAGUGGGGGUGGUGGAGAGGCAAGGUGGGUGGAGAUCCUCGAUCCUUUGCGGAGGUAGCUGCCUCGCCCCCCAUGGCGGCUGAUGCGGGGCGCGGGUAUUUGGGGGGAGCGGCGUCAAGGCGCGGAUGCGGGCCGUGCGAGGCGCGGCAUGGGUCGCGGUGCGGGGAGGAACGGCGGUCGCGGCAACGGCCGUGGCGACGACAAGAGCAAGUACUCCUGGAAGCGGAGCGAGGGCGACGGCGACCGCACCAUCUCUGCCUCGUCCAAUCCCAGCUCUGCUACGGCGGACACCUCGUGCUGGGAUGCGGCUGCGGCUACCAGGCGCCAUGA